UACGUAGGUGGCAAGCGUUAUCCGGAAUUAUUGGGCGUAAAGAGCGCGCAGGUGGUUGGUUAAGUCUGAUGUGAAAGCCCACGGCUUAACCGUGGAGGGUCAUUGGAAACUGGUCGACUUGAGUGCAGAAGAGGGAAGUGGAAUUCCAUGUGUAGCGGUGAAAUGCGUAGAGAUAUGGAGGAACACCAGUGGCGAAGGCGGCUUCCUGGUCUGUAACUGACGCUGAAGCGCGAAAGCGUGGGUAGCGAACGGGAUUAGAUACCCUGGUA
RNAcentral lists this ribosomal RNA (269 nucleotides) under uncultured prokaryote. RNAcentral's name for it is "partial 16S ribosomal RNA". It matches the Rfam family "Bacterial small subunit ribosomal RNA", at positions 524 to 792 of the family's 1533-position model. The record is from RNAcentral.